AUUGAACGCUGGCGGCAGGCCUAACACAUGCAAGUCGAGCGGAUGAAGGGAGCUUGCUCCUGGAUUCAGCGGCGGACGGGUGAGUAAUGCCUAGGAAUCUGCCUGGUAGUGGGGGAUAACGUCCGGAAACGGGCGCUAAUACCGCAUACGUCCUGAGGGAGAAAGUGGGGGAUCUUCGGACCUCACGCUAUCAGAUGAGCCUAGGUCGGAUUAGCUAGUUGGUGGGGUAAAGGCCUACCAAGGCGACGAUCCGUAACUGGUCUGAGAGGAUGAUCAGUCACACUGGAACUGAGACACGGUCCAGACUCCUAAGGGAGGCAGCAGUGGGGAAUAUUGGACAAUGGGCGAAAGCCUGAUCCAGCCAUGCCGCGUGUGUGAAGAAGGUCUUCGGAUUGUAAAGAACUUUAAGUUGGGAGGAAGGGCAGUAAGUUAAGACCUUGCUGUUUUGACGUUACCAACAGAAUAAGCACCGGCUAACUUCGUG
This 484-nucleotide ribosomal RNA is filed under the name uncultured bacterium. RNAcentral describes it as "partial 16S ribosomal RNA". It matches the Rfam family "Bacterial small subunit ribosomal RNA", at positions 30 to 507 of the family's 1533-position model. The record is from RNAcentral.